AAGACCUUGCACUUUUGGAGCGGCCGAUGUCUGAUUAGCUAGUUGGUGGGGUAAUGGCCUACCAAAGCUUCGAUCAGUAGCUGGUCUGAGAGGACGGCCAGCCACACUGGGACUGAGACACGGCCCAGACUCCCACGGGAGGCAGCAGUGGGGAAUUUUGGACAAUGGGCGCAAGCCUGAUCCAGCCAUGCCGCGUGAGUGAAGAAGGCCUUCGGGUUGUAAAGCUCUUUCAGCCGGGAAGAAAAGGUUGCGACUAAUAAUCGCAAUUCAUGACGGUACCGAAAGAAGAAGCACCGGCUAACUACGUGCCAGCAGCCGCGGUAAUACGUAGGGUGCGAGCGUUAAUCGGAAUUACUGGGCGUAAAGGGUGCGCAGGCGGUUUUGUAAGUCAGAUGUGAAAUCCCCGGGCUUAACCUGGGAACU
This 423-nucleotide ribosomal RNA is filed under the name uncultured bacterium. RNAcentral describes it as "bacterial SSU rRNA". It matches the Rfam family "Bacterial small subunit ribosomal RNA", at positions 207 to 622 of the family's 1533-position model. The record is from RNAcentral.